CGCUUUCAUUGGUAGAGGGUGUCGUAGAUAUUCUACUCUUUUGAUCUCUAUGAGGAUUUGCGCACGAAGAGCAGAAAGAGGAGUAUAGGAGUCAUACCUGUCGUAGCUCGACCUUAGACUCCAUCAUCGAGGCGAAGCUCGCUUAUUGGAAGGUGGCCGACUUGGUUCGAUUGGAGCUUCUCCUUUCUUCUAUUUUUUCUUCUUCUGACCCUUACAUUCUAUCUGGCGUCGGUCAGAAACUCUUUUGUCCACGCACAUAUACUUGUAUGCACGCUCUAGAAGUUCAGAAUAAGUCCGGAGAAGAGUUUUGUCUAAAGAAUAUGUGAAUCGAGAUCUCCUCAAAUCUCUUUUAAUGACCGAUAUAGCCAUGUCUUCGUUGAGAUCUUUGACCUUAAGUGUGGCUGUAUUAAAAUGAGCCACAAAAUCUCUCAAUAUCUCAGUCUCUCCUUGCUUGAUUGAGAAAAGACUGUCAGAAUUUCAUAGUGGCCUUCGGCUAGUACU
This 501-nucleotide long non-coding RNA is filed under the name Elaeis guineensis (African oil palm). Its description in RNAcentral is "long non-coding RNA (EGUI_LNC010766)". The record is from RNAcentral. Lineage: Eukaryota; Viridiplantae; Streptophyta; Magnoliopsida; Arecales; Arecaceae.